CAUGCAAGUCGAACGAUGAAGCCAGCUUGCUGGUGGAUUAGUGGCGAACGGGUGAGUAACACGUGAGUAACCUGCCCUUGACUCUGGGAUAAGCCUGGGAAACCGGGUCUAAUACUGGAUACGACCUCCGGCCGCAUGGUCUGGUGGUGGAAAGCUUUUUUGUGGUUUUGGAUGGACUCGCGGCCUAUCAGCUUGUUGGUGGGGUAAUGGCCUACCAAGGCCACCACUGGUAGGCGGCCUGAGAGGGUGACCGGCCUCACUGGGACUGAGACACGGCCCAGACUCCUACGGGAGGCAGCAGUGGGGAAUAUUGCACAAUGGGCGCAAGCCUGAUGCAGCGACGCCGCGUGAGGGAUGAAGGCCUUCGGGUUGUAAACCUCUUUCAGUAGGGAAGAAGCGAAAGUGACGGUACCUGCAGAAGAAGCGCCGGCUAACUACGUGCCA
Molecule: ribosomal RNA, 444 nt
Filed under: Arthrobacter sp.
Lineage: Bacteria; Bacillati; Actinomycetota; Actinomycetes; Micrococcales; Micrococcaceae
Description: bacterial SSU rRNA
Rfam family: Bacterial small subunit ribosomal RNA
Source: RNAcentral